UUUUGAAAUUUUUGAAAAAAAAAUUUUUUUUGGACUAAAAAAAAUUUUUAUUU
Molecule: non-coding RNA, 53 nt
Organism: Caenorhabditis elegans
Lineage: Eukaryota; Metazoa; Nematoda; Chromadorea; Rhabditida; Rhabditidae
Source: Ensembl